GUGCUGGGCCGUGCUUUGGCUUUCGGCCCGACGGCCCACAUGACCCGGCACGGGAGCUUGGGCCGUGCCCGGGUCGGCCCGGCACGAAAUGAAGCCCGACCGGCGUGGCGUUAGGGUUACGCGAGUUACUUCCUCUCCCGAGUCCCGACCUCUCGUAUCUCUCGCUCGCCUCCCUCGUCCGCGGUCCGCCGCCGCUCCAGAUCCAGCCGUGGGAGCGGGGACGGGGCAGGGCUUGAGCACGCUCUCUGCAGCUUCAGGCUCUGCUCGUCGGGGUGGAAGGAGAACUCGAGUGCUCCCAGGCUCUCAACCUCCACGCUCUGAACCGCUGGUACCCGAGAUGACAUGUCCUUGGGCUUGGGCUUGAGCUGGGCGCAGAACGAGCCCGUCGUCGGAAGGGACGAUGUGGACAACCUCGUCCCUGGCUCCAUGUUGAGGCCAUAGAGCUUGAACCCCGAGGCGGAGCCCUUCUGCCAGAGCGCGGCCCCGCGGUUGAACUGCUCGACGAAUGCGCCGAAUUGCUCCCUCCCGGAAUUGGAGCGGACGACGGAGUGAGAGAACUUCUUGUUCCUGUUGUAUGGUUUAUGAUGUGCGUGAGUGAUAAAAUCUAUGUAUUUGAUUCUUCUGAGUGUCUCUGUGUUAAUAACAAGUUGUCUUGUUCCUGUUGUUUUACUGAGCUCAA
This is a long non-coding RNA of Zea mays, 679 nucleotides long. RefSeq lists it as uncharacterized. The transcript has 2 exons. The record is from RefSeq and is a predicted model, not a curated record. Lineage: Eukaryota; Viridiplantae; Streptophyta; Magnoliopsida; Poales; Poaceae.